This 235-nucleotide ribosomal RNA is filed under the name uncultured bacterium. RNAcentral's name for it is "partial 16S ribosomal RNA". It matches the Rfam family "Bacterial small subunit ribosomal RNA", at positions 96 to 334 of the family's 1533-position model. The record is from RNAcentral.
UGGCGGACGGGUGAGUAAUGUCUGGGAAACUGCCUGAUGGAGGGGGAUAACUACUGGAAACGGUAGCUAAUACCGCAUAACGUCGCAAGACCAAAGAGGGGGACCUUCGGGCUUCUUGCCAUCGGAUGUGCCCAGAUGGGAUUAGCUAGUAGGUGGGGUAACGGCUCACCUAGGCGACGAUCCCUAGCUGGUCUGAGAGGAUGACCAGCCACACUGGAACUGAGACACGGUCCAG